GACGAACGCUGGCGGCGUGCUUAACACAUGCAAGUCGAACGGAAAGGCCUGCUUUCCCUUGUGGAUUGCGGGUACUCGAGUGGCGAACGGGUGAGUAACACGUGAGUGAUCUGCCCCCAACUUGGGUAUAAGCCUGGGAAACUGGGUCUAAUUCCCGAUAGGACUGCAGGGUGGUGCCUGUGGUGGAAAACGAUUUUCUAGUGGUUGGGGAUGAGCUCGCGGCCUAUCAGCUUGUUGGUGGGGUAAUGGCCUACCAAGGCGGCGACGGGUAGCCGGCCUGAGAGAGUGGACGGCCAGAUUGGGACUGAGAUACGGCCCAGACUCCUACGGGAGGCAGCAGUGGGGAAUAUUGCACAAUGGGCGGAAGCCUGAUGCAGCGACGCCGCGUGGGGGAUGACGGCCUUCGGGUUGUAAACUCCUUUCGACCGCGAGGAAGCCACCUGGUUGGAAGGGUGGUGACGGUAGUGGUAGAAGAAGCACCGGCUAACUACGUG
This 494-nucleotide ribosomal RNA is filed under the name uncultured bacterium. Its description in RNAcentral is "partial 16S ribosomal RNA". It matches the Rfam family "Bacterial small subunit ribosomal RNA", at positions 28 to 507 of the family's 1533-position model. The record is from RNAcentral.